GACGAACGCUGGCGGCGUGCCUAAUACAUGCAAGUAGAACGCUGAAGAGAGGAGCUUGCUCUUCUUGGAUGAGUUGCGAACGGGUGAGUAACGCGUAGGUAACCUGCCUUGUAGCGGGGGAUAACUAUUGGAAACGAUAGCUAAUACCGCAUAACAAUGGAUGACACAUGUCAUUUAUUUGAAAGGGGCAAUUGCUCCACUACAAGAUGGACCUGCGUUUUAUUAGCUAGUAGGUGAGGUAAUGGCUCACCUAGGCGACGAUACAUAGCCGACCUGAGAGGGUGAUCGGCCACACUGGGACUGAGACACGGCCCAGACUCCUACGGGAGGCAGCAGUAGGGAAUCUUCGGCAAUGGGGGCAACCCUGACCGAGCAACGCCGCGUGAGUGAAGAAGGUUUUCGGAUCGUAAAGCUCUGUUGUAAGUCAAGAACGGGUGUGAGAGUGGAAAGUUCACACUGUGACGGUAGCUUACCAGAAAGGGACGGCUAACUACGUG
Molecule: ribosomal RNA, 497 nt
Filed under: uncultured bacterium
Lineage: Bacteria
Description: partial 16S ribosomal RNA
Rfam family: Bacterial small subunit ribosomal RNA
Source: RNAcentral